This is a long non-coding RNA of Corvus hawaiiensis (hawaiian crow), 462 nucleotides long. RefSeq lists it as uncharacterized. The record is from RefSeq and is a predicted model, not a curated record. The transcript has 3 exons. NCBI's taxonomy places the organism in Eukaryota, Metazoa, Chordata, Aves, Passeriformes, Corvidae.
CUCACAGGUGAAAUCCACACUCACAUCUGUCCUCUGAUGUGUUACUUUGCUGGCUUUGAGGGCUCUGGUGAGGAAUUUUGGGAAUAAGGGCAUCCUGUGAUGAAUUGUCCCAUACACUGUGUAAAAUAAUACCAGAGCAGUGGGGUAUCCACAGAACAGAUACUCUCUCCCACAUCAAUGAAUGCUGGGGAAAAUGGGAAGCUUGCUCAGGGAGAGAAGGACUUCGAGAUCUUCAUCUUCAGACAAUCUUGUGUGCCCUCUUGCCUUAAGUCCCAUUAUAUAGAGUGUGGUCAUUUUGAUAUGACUGAAGUCACGGAACUGUCGAUCAUUCCAACAUCAAGGUUCGAUUCACAUGUUUGUUUACAGAAAGUAUCAUAUCAGAAGUUUCAUUUUGUCACAUCACCCAAUUGAUCUGGAAAUACUGAUGAUGCAGUGAAGCCACAGCUAUGUAAAAUUAAUACA